GACGAACGCUGGCGGCGUGCCUAAUACAUGCAAGUAGAACGCUGAAGGAGGAGCUUGCUCUUCUGGAUGAGUUGCGAACGGGUGAGUAACGCGUAGGUAACCUGCCUGGUAGCGGGGGAUAACUAUUGGAAACGAUAGCUAAUACCGCAUAAUAGUAGAUGUUGCAUGAUAUUUACUUAAAAGGUGCAAUUGCACCACUACCAGAUGGACCUGCGUUGUAUUAGCUAGUUGGUGGGGUAACGGCUCACCAAGGUGACGAUACAUAGCCGACCUGAGAGGGUGAUCGGCCACACUGGGACUGAGACACGGCCCAGACUCCUACGGGAGGCAGCAGUAGGGAAUCUUCGGCAAUGGACGAAAGUCUGACCGAGCAACGCCGCGUGAGUGAAGAAGGUUUUCGGAUCGUAAAGCUCUGUUGUAAGAGAAGAACGAGUGUGAGAGUGGAAAGUUCACACUGUGACGGUAUCUUACCAGAAAGGGACGGCUAACUACGUG
This 495-nucleotide ribosomal RNA is filed under the name uncultured bacterium. Its description in RNAcentral is "partial 16S ribosomal RNA". It matches the Rfam family "Bacterial small subunit ribosomal RNA", at positions 28 to 507 of the family's 1533-position model. The record is from RNAcentral.